CUGACGGUAAGUUGCCUCUGUGAAGUUAGCUGUUUAUGUCAUGUGCUUAUGAGUACAAGUAAAUGAAGUUAGUUGAAUAAUGUAUUUUGUAAACAAUGUUUACAAAUUUUCUUUGCGGUAUUUGUGAGAAAAUAAUCGUGCUCCGUAAUUUUUUAAUUUUUGACCAAAAGAAACAUUACAAAAUGGUGAAACAUUGUAUUGUGCGUGGAUGUAAAAGAGAUUUAGCAUCUGAUCGCUAAAAUAGAAUGAAUUACUGAAAAACAAUUUGCGUCAAUCAUCUUUAUUCAAAGUACCAAACUACCAAAGAAUAACGUAUUGAGGGAAAAUGGGUAAAAGCUUUAUCACAACAAUUGACUCCAAAUCAGUUUGUGUGAGAAGCACUUUCGCGAAGAAGAUAUUAAGAAAAUUGAUCGAUUGAUUAUUAAUGGAGCUGAAAUUAUCAUCCCUCGCGAAAGGUGGACUCUUUUGAAUGACAAUGUCAUUCCAAUAAACCCUCACGAUUUGGAAAAGGACAUUUCUGAAGAGCAAGUUCCAAUAGUGCAAAAUGACAUUAAUAACUGACCAAUCGAAAACCUGGAUUAUACACAACCCUUGUUAAAAAUCGUUCAAGGUAACAAUUUAAAAGAAGAUUCUCAACCAGCAGGACCCCAUCAUAUGGAAUCACCAGAGAUUGUAACAGCUAAUAAUGUCAUUAUCUCGAACAUGUCUCCACCAUCAUGUGUUACACUAGAAGAGAUCCAUGCUCAUUUUCACUCAAUACUGAUCCAAGGAUGGUGUUAUUUUGCUUGUGAUGAAGAGUUGAUAUUAUAUAAGAUAUGAAUUUUACUAUUUCCAAUAAUCUUUCAGUGAAGGUUUCUUUCUCUCAACAACCAGAAAUUGUUAUUGAUACUACAUCAUCUAUAGAAGAUAUAAAAAUGUAUAUGGAAACUCUGCAAGCGACUAUUUCAUGUAAAGGAACUGACGUAUACUAUAGGUACGAUAUAUUUUCUUUCAUUUCUUUUAAUAUAAAUAAAAAUCUCAUACUAUUACACAUUCGGUGAAAAUUGAAAAUAAACUUAAAGAUUCACCUAAAUCGAGGCUCCAUCUAGAACUGUGACACCUGAAGUAAAAACAAGCAUCAAGUACAUCUUUUAGUAGUAGUGUGAAAAGAAAGAAAGUAUCUACAUUACCUUUGAAAAAUUCCAAAUCAUCUUGUAAGUCAAUAGAUAUGUGUUUUAGGUAGCAGAUUUUUUUUGUAAUUAUCUAACUGUAUGCAAAUGAACUUGUAAAUAAUGUAAAUACAUUUAUAAAGCAAUUUUA
Melitaea cinxia (Glanville fritillary) is the source of this 1299-nucleotide long non-coding RNA. RefSeq lists it as uncharacterized. The record is from RefSeq and is a predicted model, not a curated record. Lineage: Eukaryota; Metazoa; Arthropoda; Insecta; Lepidoptera; Nymphalidae. The transcript is spliced from 5 exons.